UACGGAGGAGGCAAGCGUUAUCCGGAAUUAUUGGGCGUAAAGCGUCCGUAGGUGGUUCACCAAGUCUGCUGUCAAAGGGUGGGGCUUAACCUCAUAAAGGCAGUGGAAACUGGUGAGCUAGAGUGCGGUAGGGGUAAGGGGAAUUCCCAGUGUAGCGGUGAAAUGCGUAGAGAUUGGGAAGAACAUCGGUGGCGAAAGCGCCUUACUGGGCCUGCACUGACACUGAGGGACGAAAGCUAGGGGAGCUAAAGGG
This 253-nucleotide ribosomal RNA is filed under the name uncultured bacterium. Its description in RNAcentral is "partial 16S ribosomal RNA". It matches the Rfam family "Bacterial small subunit ribosomal RNA", at positions 524 to 776 of the family's 1533-position model. The record is from RNAcentral.